UCCCUCCCCAUUUCACUGUUAGAUUCUUCUCCACCUUUUAACAAAUUUGCAUGUCAGUUCCUGUCACGUUUAUUUAUUGGGUUCUCGGCUGCCUAACCUGUACAUACCUGAUCCCUCGGGUUUUGUUUACAAGGAAUCUUGACUGACCAAAAGGCACUGUAACUCUGCCUCAGAUACAAGGUACAGAGGAGAUGCGUCUCGGAGGAAACGUCUGCUUCCGUCCCCUUGUUCUGGUGAACGUUGGGAGAGAGCAUGAGAGAAGCAUUAAAAUUCUAGAGCUGUGCUUUUAUGAUCCAAAGACAUAGAGUGAUGUGGGUGUCAGAGACUGAAGAGAGGUGAAAGUCGCGCUUUCAACCUGUCAUUCAGGGUUUCCUUUGAGCUAGUCGGCUGUACCUUUUCAAUUAGUUCUCUUUUUUUUUUUUCAACCAACAUGUCACUAAAAGUUCCAUCAAAGCUUUAUCAGUUCAAGUUUCUUGCUUUUCAUAAUACUUUUUUCUGAUGCAAUUUUAUAUUUUCAAACAUGGCAAGUUAAAUAUAAAUUCAUUUAAAUAUAUAGUUUUGUACUUUUCUACCAUGUAAAUGUGCAAUGUAUAUAAAAGUUAUAAUGUGUAUUUGUAGAUAAAUGAUGAGUGAAAAAAUAAAAAAAAAUGUAAAAGCC
This 658-nucleotide long non-coding RNA is filed under the name Rattus norvegicus (Norway rat). Its description in RNAcentral is "long non-coding RNA NONRATT016111". The record is from RNAcentral. Lineage: Eukaryota; Metazoa; Chordata; Mammalia; Rodentia; Muridae.